AGCACGUGACGUCUGAGUGGUUCACAUGACGCUCACAGUCCAGUGUUAGCAACCGGAAUCGGCCAAUUCAUGGCGGGGUGACAACGCACACUGGCGGCUUCGUUCUAUUUGCUGCACAUGCGAAACGGAUGGUUGCAUCUUUUGGACGUGAGCCGAGCCCGAUGGAGUUGUUUGUGGAGACGCACGUGCGGAGUCAAGACCGCCAAAAAAGGGUGUAACAGUUCGUUGAUAACCGUGCUCAACAUUUCGUGGUGACCUAUAAUAAUCAGUUGAGGGAGAGAUAUGGAGACGAUAUGUUGAACCAUCCGGAAUUCGAUCCAGAUUUAUGGAUGGAGGUUGGCUCCUCAGGUGGACCCGAUAAAAAUCGGGUUUACAGGCU
Populus euphratica (Euphrates poplar) is the source of this 379-nucleotide long non-coding RNA. RefSeq lists it as uncharacterized. The record is from RefSeq and is a predicted model, not a curated record. Lineage: Eukaryota; Viridiplantae; Streptophyta; Magnoliopsida; Malpighiales; Salicaceae. The transcript has 3 exons.